UGGGGAAUUUUGGACAAUGGGCGAAAGCCUGAUCCAGCAAUGCCGCGUGUGUGAAGAAGGCCUUCGGGUUGUAAAGCACUUUUGUCCGGAAAGAAAUCCUUGGCUCUAAUACAGUCGGGGGAUGACGGUACCGGAAGAAUAAGCACCGGCUAACUACGUGCCAGCAGCCGCGGUAAUACGUAGGGUGCAAGCGUUAAUCGGAAUUACUGGGCGUAAAGCGUGCGCAGGCGGUUUGCUAAGACCGAUGUGAAAUCCCCGGGCUCAACCUGGGAACUGCAUUGGUGACUGGCAGGCUAGAGUAUGGCAGAGGGGGGUAGAAUUCCACGUGUAGCAGUGAAAUGCGUAGAGAUGUGGAGGAAUACCGAUGGCGAAGGCAGCCCCCUGGGCCAAUACUGACGCUCAUGCACGAAAGCGUGGGGAGCAAACAGGAUUAGAUACCCUGGUAGUCCACGCCCUAAACGAUGUCAACUAGUUGUUGGGGAUUCAUUUCCUAGUAACGUAGCUAACGCGUGAAGUUGACCGCCUGGGGGAGUACGGUCGCAAGAUUAAAACUCAAAUGAAUUGACGGGGUCAUAGCUGUUUCCU
Molecule: ribosomal RNA, 585 nt
Filed under: uncultured bacterium
Lineage: Bacteria
Description: partial 16S ribosomal RNA
Rfam family: Bacterial small subunit ribosomal RNA
Source: RNAcentral